This 302-nucleotide ribosomal RNA is filed under the name uncultured prokaryote. RNAcentral's name for it is "bacterial SSU rRNA". It matches the Rfam family "Archaeal small subunit ribosomal RNA", at positions 339 to 641 of the family's 1478-position model. The record is from RNAcentral.
GCGCGAAAACUUUACAAUGCUGGCAACAGCGAUAAGGGAACCUCGAGUGCCAGGUUACAAAUCUGGCUGUCGAGAUGCCUAAAAAGCAUUUCAUAGCAAGGGCCGGGCAAGACCGGUGCCAGCCGCCGCGGUAACACCGGCGGCUCGAGUGGUAACCGUUAUUCUUGGGUCUAAAGGGUCUGUAGCCGGCCGGCUAAGUCUCUUGAGAAAUCUGGCAGCUUAACGGUCAGGCUUUCAGGAGAUACUGUCUGGCUCGAGGCCGGGAGAGGUGAGAGGUACGUCAGGGGUAGGGGUGAAAUCUU